This 406-nucleotide ribosomal RNA is filed under the name uncultured bacterium. Its description in RNAcentral is "partial 16S ribosomal RNA". It matches the Rfam family "Bacterial small subunit ribosomal RNA", at positions 29 to 526 of the family's 1533-position model. The record is from RNAcentral.
AUUGAACGCUAGCGGCAGGCCUAACACAUGCAAGUCGAACGAGUGGCGGACGGGUGAGUAAUGUCUGGGAAACUGCCUGCUGGAGGGGGAUAACUACUGGAAACGGUAGCUAAUACCGCAUACCAUCGGAUGUGCCCAGAUGGGAUUGGCUAGUAGUGGGGGUAAAGGCUAACCUAGGCGACGAUCCCUAGCUGGUCUGAGAGGAUGACAAGCCAAACUGGAACUGAGACACGGUCCAGACUCCUACGGGAGGCAGCAGGGGGGAAUAGUGCACAAUGGGCGGAAGCCUGAUGCAGCCAUGCCGCGUGGAUGAAGAAGGCCUUCGGGUUGUAAAGUACGUUCAGCGGGGAGGCGUUACCCGCAGAAGAAGCACCGGCUAACUCCGGGCCAGCAGCCGCGGUAAUUC